AUUGAACGCUGGCGGCAGGCCUAACACAUGCAAGUCGAACGGUAACAGGAAGAAGCUUGCUUCUUUGCUGACGAGUGGCGGACGGGUGAGUAAUGUCUGGGAAACUGCCUGAUGGAGGGGGAUAACUACUGGAAACGGUAGCUAAUACCGCAUAACGUCGCACGAACAAUGAGGGGGCCCUUCGGGCCCCAUGCCAUCGGAUGUGCCCAGAUGGGGUUAGCUUGUUGGUGGGGUAACGGCUCACCAAGGCGACGCUCCCUAGCUGGUCUGAGAGGAUGACCAGCCACACUGGAACUGAGACACGGUCCAGACUCUUACGGGAGGCAGCAGUGGGGAAUAUUGCACGAUGGGCGCAAGCCUGAUGCAGCCAUGCCGCGUGUAUGAAGAAGGCCUUCGGGUUGUAAAGUACUUUCAGCGGGGAGGAAGGGAGUAAAGUUAAUACCUUUGCUCAUUGACGUUACCCGCAGAAGAAGCACCGGCUAACUCCGUG
RNAcentral lists this ribosomal RNA (490 nucleotides) under uncultured bacterium. Its description in RNAcentral is "partial 16S ribosomal RNA". It matches the Rfam family "Bacterial small subunit ribosomal RNA", at positions 30 to 507 of the family's 1533-position model. The record is from RNAcentral.